This 422-nucleotide ribosomal RNA is filed under the name uncultured bacterium. RNAcentral describes it as "bacterial SSU rRNA". It matches the Rfam family "Bacterial small subunit ribosomal RNA", at positions 355 to 774 of the family's 1533-position model. The record is from RNAcentral.
UGAGGAAUAUUGGUCAAUGGGCGCAAGCCUGAACCAGCCAAGUAGCGUGAGGGAAGACUGCCCUAUGGGUUGUAAACCUCUUUUGUGCGGGGAUAAAGUGAGGGACGUGUCCCUUAUUGCAGGUACCGCACGAAUAAGGACCGGCUAAUUCCGUGCCAGCAGCCGCGGUAAUACGGAAGGUCCGGGCGUUAUCCGGAUUUAUUGGGUUUAAAGGGAGCGCAGGCCGUCCUUUAAGCGUGCUGUGAAAUGCCGCGGCUCAACCGUGGCACUGCAGCGCGAACUGGAGGACUUGAGUACGCACGAGGUAGGCGGAAUUCGUGGUGUAGCGGUGAAAUGCUUAGAUAUCACGAAGAACUCCGAUUGCGAAGGCAGCUUACCGGAGCGCAACUGACGCUGAGGCUCGAAAGCGCGGGUAUCGAACA